UACGGGGGGGGUAAGCGUUGUUCGGAAUUACUGGGCGUAAAGGGCUCGUAGGCGGCCAACUAAGUCAGACGUGAAAUCCCUCAGCUUAACUGGGGAACUGCGUCUGAUACUGGAUGGCUUGGAUUCGGGAGAGGAAUGCGGAAUUCCAGGUGUAGCGGUGAAAUGCGUAGAUAUCAAGAGGAACACCUGAGGUGAAGACGGGUUGCUGGGCUGACACUGACGCUGAGGCGCGAAAGCUAGGGGAGCAAACGGG
RNAcentral lists this ribosomal RNA (253 nucleotides) under uncultured bacterium. Its description in RNAcentral is "partial 16S ribosomal RNA". It matches the Rfam family "Bacterial small subunit ribosomal RNA", at positions 524 to 776 of the family's 1533-position model. The record is from RNAcentral.